CUACGGGAGGCAGCAGUAGGGAAUCUUCCGCAAUGGACGAAAGUCUGACGGAGCAACGCCGCGUGAGUGAUGAAGGUUUUCGGAUCGUAAAGCUCUGUUGUUAGGGAAGAACAAGUGCCGUUCAAAUAGGGCGGCACCUUGACGGUACCUAACCAGAAAGCCACGGCUAACUACGUGCCAGCAGCCGCGGUAAUACGUAGGUGGCAAGCGUUGUCCGGAAUUAUUGGGCGUAAAGGGCUCGCAGGCGGUUUCUUAAGUCUGAUGUGAAAGCCCCCGGCUCAACCGGGGAGGGUCAUUGGAAACUGGGGAACUUGAGUGCAGAAGAGGAGAGUGGAAUUCCACGUGUAGCGGUGAAAUGCGUAGAGAUGUGGAGGAACACCAGUGGCGAAGGCGACUCUCUGGUCUGUAACUGACGCUGAGGAGCGAAAGCGUGGGGAGCGAACAGGAUUAGAUACCCUGGUAGUCCACGCCGUAAACGAUGAGUGCUAAGUGUUAGGGGGUUUCCGCCCCUUAGUGCUGCAGCUAACGCAUUAAGCACUCCGCCUGGGGAGUACGGUCGCAAGACUGAAACUCAAAGGAAUUGACGGGGGCCCGCACAAGCGGUGGAGCAUGUGGUUUAAUUCGAAGCAACGCGAAGAACCUUACCAGGUCUUGACAUCCUCUGACAAUCCUAGAGAUAGGACGUCCCCUUCGGGGGCAGAGUGACAGGUGGUGCAUGGUUGUCGUCAGCUCGUGUCGUGAGAUGUUGGGUUAAGUCCCGCAACGAGCGCAACCCUUGAUCUUAGUUGCCAGCAUUCAGUUGGGCACUCUAAGGUGACUGCCGGUGACAAACCGGAGGAAGGUGGGGAUGACGUCAAAUCA
This 861-nucleotide ribosomal RNA is filed under the name Bacillus amyloliquefaciens. RNAcentral describes it as "bacterial SSU rRNA". It matches the Rfam family "Bacterial small subunit ribosomal RNA", at positions 339 to 1192 of the family's 1533-position model. The record is from RNAcentral. Lineage: Bacteria; Bacillati; Bacillota; Bacilli; Caryophanales; Bacillaceae.